This 448-nucleotide ribosomal RNA is filed under the name uncultured bacterium. RNAcentral describes it as "partial 16S ribosomal RNA". It matches the Rfam family "Bacterial small subunit ribosomal RNA", at positions 29 to 523 of the family's 1533-position model. The record is from RNAcentral.
AACGAACGCUGGCGGCAUGCCUAACACAUGCAAGUCGAACGAGAUCUUCGGGUCUAGUGGCGCACGGGUGCGUAACGCGUGGGAAUCUGCCCUUUGGUUCGGAAUAACAGUUGGAAACGACUGCUAAUACCGGAUGAUGACGAAAGUCAAAGAUUUAUCGCCAGAGGAUGAGCCCGCGUAGGAUUAGCUAGUUGGUGUGGUAAAGGCGCAACAAGGCGACGAUCCUUAGCUGGUCUGAGAGGAUGAUCAGCCACACUGGGACUGGGACACGGUCAAGACUCGUAGGAGAGGAGGCAGUGGGGACUAUUGGACAGGGGGCGAAAGCUUUAUCCAUCAAGGCCGCGUGAGUGAUGAAGGCUUUAGGGUUGUAAAGCUCUUUUACCCGGAAUGAAAAUGAAGGUACCGGGAGAAAAAGCUCCGGCAAACUCCGUGCAACCCCCCCCGGAAA